CCCUAUAAAAUGCUAAAACAUCUAUACACCUCCCCAUUUGUAUGAAUGUUUUAGUAUUGUAAACUCGGAACACUGUAUAAGUCAAGACCUAGAACUAUUGUUUCCCUUGCAUACUUUUGCUAUAAAAGUGACAAAGUGGCUAUUCAUACUGGAACAAUAUGCCGAGUUUGAUUUGCUAUUCGUACUGCAGUUGGAAUAUUUAAAGUGCCCCUGACACAAAAAUUGAUUUUUUGUGUAUUGAAAGUACACAUUAUGUGGAGUGUUUUGGUGAAAGAAUUUUUUUAUUUCAUUGAAACGAAAAAAUUUUAGAGCCGUUUGAACACCCAAAAUGUGGGCUUUUUGUUGGCACACGUCCGUGUUCAAAGGAAACUGGAACGAGCGAUUUUUGUUACGUCACGCAAGUGAGUCGGGGUAUUCUAUAAUUUAUUCGACUGGUACUAACUCUUGGCGCAUAUAGUCCAUAUACAAAUAUACUAGAUUUGUGAUAAAAAAAUAUAUGCCUUUUUACUAUGUUGCAGCUAACUGUACCAAUAAACCAUGUUUAAAAGAUGGAAUAAGUUUACACAAUAUUCCAUACUUCAAUAACGAACGCGCGGAAGCUACAAGACGAAGAAAAGUAUGGGUUUGUUUGUGCCGUCAAAGCACAGAUCAAAGCUAGACUUCGACUAUAUGCUCGGAUCAUUUUUGACCAGAGGAUUACGAGAGGCGAUUCUUUUUGUGUCUUUCGUUGACGGGGCUCGGCAAGCCUAACUAUCCGAAGGCGAAGCUAUUAAAGACUGACGAUAAUUUGCUUUGUUUUGAUGAUUCAAUUUCGGUUUUACGGGCCCGCUAAUAAUAUAAAUAUUUUGUAAUACCGAAAUGAAAGAUGCAAAUCUGAAGACACAAGCUUGAAAAUAACACUCUAAAUAGU
Molecule: non-coding RNA, 910 nt
Organism: Paramuricea clavata
Lineage: Eukaryota; Metazoa; Cnidaria; Anthozoa; Malacalcyonacea; Plexauridae
Source: the annotation of a GenBank genome assembly